Molecule: long non-coding RNA, 733 nt
Organism: Microtus oregoni (creeping vole)
Lineage: Eukaryota; Metazoa; Chordata; Mammalia; Rodentia; Cricetidae
Exons: 3
Source: RefSeq, a predicted model, not a curated record
UGCCGGGUCCCGCGCGCCAGGUUGGGGCCAGAGGACUCGGCUCUCGGGGCAGCACCGCUCCUCCUGCUGGGAACUGGUCCUGCGCAUGCAUCCCCUUUCGCCGGCCGCGCCCGCCGCGCCGCUCUGCCUUACAAAGGAGGACGAAUGAGGCGGGCGGCGGCGCCGUGCGGCCCCCCCCCCCCCGGGCGGCGGGGAUGGCGGCCGCCCCCGGCACCACCUAAGACGCCCCCGCGCGCCCAGCUUCGGCCCAGGCCCGAGCCCCGCAGGCGGCCGAGCGCUGCGUGUCGCCCGUGGCCCGCGAGGAGGCGGAGGAGCAGAGCGAGGCGCCGCCUUCCCCGCGCACUGCCGCGCGCCCUCGCGCCCUCGCCGUUGUCUGCGCUGCGCGCUGGACCAGUUUCGCGAAGUUGCCCGGGCCCCGCGCCGCCCAGAUGUGCGACCUCAUUGAGCCUCAGCCGAGCGAGAAGAUCGGCAGGAUGAAGAAGUUGAGGAGAACUUUGUCAGAGAGUUUCAGCCGCAUCGAUUUCAGCAGCUGACCUCCCAGGUCUGAUAGAAGGAGCACAUAUGAACAAAGGAAUGGGCCACAAGUUCCUCAAGCAUUUAGAGCGAACCAGACAACUGCUCUUUGUUGAGUUGGAGUCAUACAAAGAGGAACUGCAGACAAAACCUGCACUCUUGGCAGUUAAUAAGAUGGACUUGCCCGAUGCCCAGGUUAAGCUUGACGAACUGAUGAAGC